GCUUAAGACGCUUACUUCCCGAUUCCAUAACUUAUUCAUUAUAACUCAGAACGAGAUCAUUCCAAAGCCAUUCUCUUCCUUAUCUUACGUACUUCGAUUACCCAUGGACAGAACUCCGUUCUGAAUCCGUCAACAUGCCAUUAAAUUGGCUUAAUCUUCACUCUUCGUUCGUUCGUCCGUAAUUCGGUCAUCCAAAAUCAGAACUUGUUCGUUCUUGAGUCUGUGACUUAAGUUUUAUACGUUCUCUUUCAUUCUUAUGAAACCCUACACGUUCGGGCUCAUUUACAUACUUUCUAUUUCUCGUUCAUCUUUUACGAAUAUUCGCCAUAAUUUCGUUAUAG
This 341-nucleotide long non-coding RNA is filed under the name Panax ginseng (ginseng). RNAcentral describes it as "long non-coding RNA (PGIN_LNC014760)". The record is from RNAcentral. Lineage: Eukaryota; Viridiplantae; Streptophyta; Magnoliopsida; Apiales; Araliaceae.